CCAUGAUUCAGCGGCGGACGGGUGAGUAAUGCCUAGGAAUCUGCCUGGUAGUGGGGGACAACGUUUCGAAAGGAACGCUAAUACCGCAUACGUCCUACGGGAGAAAGCAGGGGACCUUCGGGCCUUGCGCUAUCAGAUGAGCCUAGGUCGGAUUAGCUAGUUGGUGAGGUAAUGGCUCACCAAGGCGACGAUCCGUAACUGGUCCCUGAGAGGAUGAUCAGUCACACUGGAACUGAGACACGGUCCAGACUCCUACGGGAGGCAGCAGUGGGGAAUAUUGGACAAUGGGCGAGUUAAGCCUGAUCCAGCCAUGCCGCGUGUGUGAAGAAGGUCUUCGGAUUGUAAAGCACUUUAAGUUGGGAGGAAGGGCCCAUUAACCUAAUACGUUAGUGUUUUGACGUUACCGACAGAAUAAGCACCGGCUAACUUCGUGCCAGCAGCCGCGGUAAUACGAAGGGUGCAAGCGUUAAUCGGAAUUACUGGGCGUAAAGCGCGCGUAGGUGGUUUGUUAAGUUGAAUGUGAAAGCCCCGGGCUCAACCUGGGAACUGCAUCCAAAACUGGCAAGUCCUAGAGUAUGGCAGAGGGUGGUGGAAUUUCCUGUGUAGCGGUGAAAUGCGUAGAUAUAGGAAGGAACACCAGUGGCGAAGGCGACCACCUGGGCUAAUACUAAGACACUGAGGUGCGAAAGCGUGGGGAGUGCAAACAGGAUUAGAUACCCUGGUAGUCCACGCCGUAAACGAUGUCGACUAGCCGUUGGGAUCCUUGAGAUCUUAGUGGCGCACAGCUAACGCAUUAAGUCGACCGCCUGGGGAGUACGGCCGCAAGGUUAAAACUCAAAUGAAUUGACGGGGGCCCGCACAAGCGGUGGAGCAUGUGGUUUAAUUCGAAGCAACGCGAAGAACCUUACCAGGCCUUGACAUGCAGAGAACUUUCCAGAGAUGGAUUGGUGCCUUCGGGAACUCUGACACAGGUGCUGCAUGGCUGUCGUCAGCUCGUGUCGUGAGAUGUUGGGUUAAGUCCCGUAACGAGCGCAACCCUUGUCCUUAGUUACCAGCACGUAAUGGUGGGCACUCUAAGGAGACUGCCGGUGACAAACCGGAGGAAGGUGGGGAUGACGUCAAGUCAUCAUGGCCCUUACGGCCUGGGCUACACACGUGCUACAAUGGUCGGUGGAAAGGGUUUACAAGCCGCGAGGUGGAGCUAAUCCCAUAAAACCGAUCGUAGUCCGGAUCGCAGUCUGCAACUCGACUGCGUGAAGUCGAAUCGCUAGUAAUCGGAAA
RNAcentral lists this ribosomal RNA (1281 nucleotides) under Pseudomonas sp. ZZ-3. RNAcentral describes it as "bacterial SSU rRNA". It matches the Rfam family "Bacterial small subunit ribosomal RNA", at positions 85 to 1348 of the family's 1533-position model. Lineage: Bacteria; Pseudomonadati; Pseudomonadota; Gammaproteobacteria; Pseudomonadales; Pseudomonadaceae. The record is from RNAcentral.